This 497-nucleotide ribosomal RNA is filed under the name uncultured bacterium. RNAcentral's name for it is "partial 16S ribosomal RNA". It matches the Rfam family "Bacterial small subunit ribosomal RNA", at positions 28 to 507 of the family's 1533-position model. The record is from RNAcentral.
GAUGAACGCUGGCGGCGUGCCUAAUACAUGCAAGUCGAGCGAACAGAUGAGGAGCUUGCUCCUCUGACGUUAGCGGCGGACGGGUGAGUAACACGUGGAUAACCUACCUAUAAGACUGGGAUAACUUCGGGAAACCGGAGCUAAUACCGGAUAAUAUAUUGAACCGCAUGGUUCAAUAGUGAAAGACGGUUUUGCUGUCACUUAUAGAUGGAUCCGCGCCGCAUUAGCUAGUUGGUAAGGUAACGGCUUACCAAGGCAACGAUGCGUAGCCGACCUGAGAGGGUGAUCGGACACACUGGAACUGAGACACGGCACAGACUCCUACGGGAGGCAGCAGUAGGGAAUCUUCCGCAAUGGGCGAAAGCCUGACGGAGCAACGCCGCGUGAGUGAUGAAGGUCUUCGGAUCGUAAAACUCUGUUAUUAGGGAAGAACAAAUGUGUAAGUAACUAUGCACGUCUUGACGGUACCUAAUCAGAAAGCCACGGCUAACUACGUG